This 497-nucleotide ribosomal RNA is filed under the name uncultured bacterium. RNAcentral's name for it is "partial 16S ribosomal RNA". It matches the Rfam family "Bacterial small subunit ribosomal RNA", at positions 28 to 507 of the family's 1533-position model. The record is from RNAcentral.
GAUGAACGCUGGCGGCGUGCCUAAUACAUGCAAGUCGAGCGAACGGACGAGAAGCUUGCUUCUCUGAUGUUAGCGGCGGACGGGUGAGUAACACGUGGAUAACCUACCUAUAAGACUGGGAUAACUUCGGGAAACCGUAGCUAAUACCGGAUAAUAUUUUGAACCGCAUGGUUCAAAAGUGAAAGACGGUCUUGCUGUCACUUAUAGAUGGAUCCGCGCUGCAUUAGCUAGUUGGUAAGGUAACGGCUUACCAAGGCAACGAUGCAUAGCCGACCUGAGAGGGUGAUCGGACACACUGGAACUGAGACACGGUCCAGACUCCGACGGGAGGCAGCAGUAGGGAAUCUUGCGCGAUGGGCGAAAGCCUUACGGAGCAACGCCGCGUGAGUGAUGAAGGUCUUCGGAUCGUAAAACUCUGUUAUUAGGGAAGAACAUAUGUGUAAGUAACUGUGCACAUCUUGACGGUACCUAAUCAGAAAGCCACGGCUAACUACGUG